RNAcentral lists this ribosomal RNA (406 nucleotides) under uncultured bacterium. RNAcentral describes it as "bacterial SSU rRNA". It matches the Rfam family "Bacterial small subunit ribosomal RNA", at positions 72 to 476 of the family's 1533-position model. The record is from RNAcentral.
CACGGGGGCAACCCUGGUGGCGAGUGGCGAACGGGUGAGUAACGCAUCGGAAUGUACCCAGUAGUGGGGGAUAACUAGUCGAAAGNUAGCUAAUACCGCAUACCACUGAGGUGGAAAGCGGGGGAUCGCAAGACCUNNNNCUAUUGGAGCAGCCGAUGUCCGAUUAGGUAGUUGGUGGGGUAAAGGCCUACCAAGCCUGCGAUCGGUAACUGGUCUGAGAGGACGACCAGUNACACUGGGACUGAGACACGGCCCAGACUCCUACGGGAGGCAGCAGUGGGGAAUUUUGGACAAUGGGCGCAAGCCUGAUCCAGCAAUGCCGCGUGUGUGAAGAAGGCCUUCGGGUUGUAAAGCACUUUUGGCGGGAGCGAAACGGCGUUUGCUAAUACCAGACGCUAAUGACGGU